This 529-nucleotide ribosomal RNA is filed under the name uncultured Nitrososphaerota archaeon. RNAcentral's name for it is "bacterial SSU rRNA". It matches the Rfam family "Archaeal small subunit ribosomal RNA", at positions 452 to 981 of the family's 1478-position model. Lineage: Archaea; Thermoproteati; Nitrososphaerota. The record is from RNAcentral.
CUGGUGUCAGCCGCCGCGGUAAUACCAGCACCUCGAGUGGUCAGGACGUUUAUUGGGCCUAAAGCAUCCGUAGCCGGCUUUGCAAGUCUUCGGUUAAAUCCACCUGCUCAACAGAUGGGCUGCUGGAGAUACUACAAAGCUAGGGAGUGGGAGAGGCAGACGGUAUUCAGUGGGUAGGGGUAAAAUCCUCUGAUCCAUUGAGGACCACCAGUGGCGAAGGCGGUCUGCCAGAACACGUUCGACGGUGAGGGAUGAAAGCUGGGGGAGCAAACCGGAUUAGAUACUCGGGUAGUCCCAGCUGUAAACGAUGCAAACUCGGUGAUGCAUUGGCUUAUGGCCAAUGCAGUGCCGCAGGGAAGCCGUUAAGUUUGCCGCCUGGGAAGUACGGACGCAAGUCUGAAACUUAAAGGAAUUGGCGGGGGAGCACCACAAGGGGUGAAGCCUGCGGUUCAAUUGGAGUCAACGCCAGGAAUCUUACCCGGGGAGACAGCAGAAUGAAGGUCAAGCUGAAGACUUUACCAGACAAGCU